AUGGUACUCCCUUCGUCCGGAAAUACUUGUCCUAUAAAUGGAUGUAUCUAGACUUAUUUUAGUUAUAGAUACAUUCAUUUUCUUCAUUUUUAGGACAAGUAUUUCUGGUCGGAGGGAGUAUUAU
Molecule: non-coding RNA, 124 nt
Organism: Triticum aestivum (bread wheat)
Lineage: Eukaryota; Viridiplantae; Streptophyta; Magnoliopsida; Poales; Poaceae
Source: Rfam